UUUUUUUUUUUUUUUGGUCUUUUUGUCUUUUUAGGGCUGCACCCAUGGCAUAUGGAGGUUCCCAGGCUAGGGGUCCAAUUGGAGCUGUAAUGCCAGCCUAUACCACACCCAUAGCAACGCCAGAUCCAAGCUGUGUCUGUGACCUACACAACAGCUCAUGGCAACGCCGGAUCCUUAACCCACUGAGUGAGGCCAGGGAUGGAACCCUCGACCUCAUGGUUCCUAGUUGGAUUUGUUUCCACUGUGCCGUGACAGGAACUUCAGACUUUGGCUUUUUUUAUCUUUGCAUUUCUGAUACCCAACAAAACUCAUAUUGUAGUGUUAAAUAAAUGCCUCUGAAUAAAUAAAGAACAGAUGAAGCACCUAAAUAUUGCAUUGCUUUGUUUUUACAAAAAAAGAAUAGCACAGUGGUUAAAAACAUGGACUUUAUGGUCAGAUGGACUGGUAUUGAAGUCCGAUUAUGCCAAUUUCUAUAUGAGUCAUUUAAAGGUGUUACAUGCACCUAAUCUCUAUAAGGAGAAUAGUUAUAGGUCCUAUCUUAGAAAACCCUUCUGACACUUCAUAUUUAUUCUCUAUAUUUUUUUCUGGACAAAUGCUUUGGAGGCUUAAGAGCAACAUGGCAUAGUACUUUUCUUAACUUUACCAAUUAGAGAUCACAUCUUCAGGUAAAAAUAUAUCUAAAAAUAAAGACUAAAUUAAAGAAGAAAAAUCUCAGAGCGCCCAUUGUGGCGCAGUGGAAAUGAAUCCAACUAGUAUCCAUGAGGAUGUGGGUUCGAUUCCUGGCCUCGCUCAGUGGGUCAGGGAUCCUGUGUUGCUGUGAGUUGUGCUGUAGAUCACAGAUGAGUCUCAAAUCUGGCGUUGCUGUGGCCUAGGCUCCGAUUCAACACCUAGCCCUCCCACCAUAAAUUUAAAAACCUAUUAAAGAAAUCAGCUUUUUAUGAUUAACUCAGUCUUCUUUACAUUUAGAUCAAUGAAAAGAUGAGAUGAAAUCAAUUAUGUUAUAUACUUAAGAUUGUAGUAAAGCUGGGAAAUAUUAAAGUAAUUAACCUACUUUCAGGACAAAAUUAACCUGAUUCUUAAAUUUAUGGAUCUUAUGUAAUACAAAUUACAUACAACCUGUCAUAUGAUCAAAUCCAUUAAGUGCUCUCAAAGGCUGCUGAUCUAGCAUUUAAUUCUGGUAGAGCAAUUACCAGAAAGAUCUCUCAGGUCAUAAAGCUGGUUUUACAGUUUAUAAAUUCUAUACAUGCCAAGUAUGAUGAUGAUGCUGGUAGAAAAAAAUAGAUUCUGAUUAAUGUGCAUGUAUUUUCUUUAUUUUUUUCCAUUUCUAAUAGUCUAAAGACACAUUCACUGAACACAAGACAAAAAUCCUUUCCACAUUUCCUAUGAUCUAGUUCUGUUCAAUCCAGUCAGGGAUGGAAUAUCCACUACCUUAAGUCACAGAAGCUUUAACUGAUUGCUCUUUGUGUCCUUUAGCAAUUUCUUAAUAUGAGUCACAUAUUCCCUUCCUGGCAUAUCUGCUAAAUCAACAUCUCCCCCUUUUGUCAGUGAGAUACACAAUCAAAUAUUUUAAAUAGGGUAAAGAAAAGUAAAUUUUUUUUUUUCCUUUUAAAACAUCAGCAUUUAUUUUUGCAGGUUGAUAUUCUGAUAUUUCAGCUGGUCUCAUCCUCACAUAAUGUUCUACUCCCUUUCAGACUUCACAGGGACCCCUGAGUUGUCAUUCCGGACCACAGAUCUGAUCCCCCUUGCCCUUCCCCCCAAUUCACCCUCCUGCUAGGCCAAGGCCUGGCCUACUUAUCAAUAAUAUCACAUAAUGUCCCUGUCUUGCGACAACUCCUUUCAUCUUCUCCAUCUCUCUAUUCCCUGAUACUCUGCUUAUUACCAAGGGUCCACCUUUUGUCUUCUGAGAUCAAAUUCCUCCUGUGGUUUUUAGUAAGUAGAAGCUUCUUUCCCAUCAAUUUCUCUACUCACUUGCUUUGUGGAUUUUUUUUUCUCACUCACUUUCAGCUCUCCCUUGGGUGUCUUUUCAUUUUAUUUUGCAAUCAGGAAAUCCAGGACUAUUGCUUCCUCAGACCAAUAUGACGGCAGCACUUUACAACCCCAUUCUUCAGUUCUUCUUGAAAAGCACUACCAACAUAAAGAUGAGUGAUCGUAACAUAUGUCACUGAUGGUGUUGGGCUGGAUAUCUAGGAGGAAUUAUGAUGCAGCAAAGCUUGAAACUGUAUUUGAACAUGGCUAGGUUCAAGAUUUCAUACAGGGAAAAAUGAUCAUAACCUUCCCGUGGUGUUCCCCAUUGCCAACCCUGCUCUUCUGCCUAGAGACUCACAGAUUUCCUGCCCCUGAGAGUCAAACCUCCAUGGUUCACUUCUUCACUCAUCUUUAGGAAAACCCAGACCUCUUACACAGGCUUUGGUCUAGGCCUAGGAUAGGACUCAUCAUCCUGCUACAACACUCCACUGGACACAAUUUUCCACCUGUCUCCUCCUGGAGGUGGAGGUUUUUACUCUGAGCUUUUUACUCUAAACCUGUCCCAGAGCUGUACUUUCCCAAAACAUCCCUGGGUGGGAGAGUCUAGCAGGAAAGUCCAGAGAGGGCUCGGAGACUCUGGGCUGGGUCCCCUUUGAGUUCUUUCUUACAGAGGAUGUGCCCUUUCAUUCUCCCCACAGUGUUCUAGUCUCCCAUGGAUCACUCUGGAAAGAACACACACAUGCACACGCACACACACGCAUGCAGAUGUACACUGCACACAUGCAAGCACGCACACACACACGCAUACAGAUGUACACUGCACACAUGCAAGCGUGCACCUUACACACACAGACAUGCACAUUACACAUGUACCUUUAGACAUGCAGAUUACACACAUGCAAGUGUGCAUGUCAUACACAUUCACUCUUUUAGCAGCUACUGAACCAGGUAUGAAGAAUACAAUAAUAAGCCAAAAGGGCUCAUUUUCCUGAUGGAGCUUAUGGUCAAAUGAUGGAGAAGAAAACAAGACAUCAUGGAAUAAAAUCUCUAUUUGUCCCUAAAUGUCCAUUGACAGAGGAAGAGAUAAAGAAGAUGUGCAUAUCUUGGCAUACACAAUGGAAUAUUACUCAGCCUUAAAAAAGAAUGAAAUAAUGCCAUCUGCAGUAACUUGGAUGAACCUAGAGAUUACCAUACUGAAGUUAGUCAAACAGUGAAAGAGAAACAUAUGAUAUCACUUAUGUGUGGAAUCUAAAUAAAGGAUACAAAUGAACUUGUUUGCAGAACAGAAACAGAUUCACAGACUUUGAAAAACUCAUGGUUACUAGAGGGGACAGGUGGAGGGGGAGGGACAGACUGGGAGUUUGGGAUGGGCACGUACACCUGGUGGUACAUGGAAUGACUGGCCAAGGGGACCUGCUGCAUAGCACAGGGAACUCUACCCAAUAUUCUGUGAUAAGCUAUGAAUCUGAAGCUAAAGAAUCGGAACAAGAAUGUGUACGUGUAUGGCUGAGUCACUUUGCUGUGUGGCAGACUGUCCCAGUAUUGUGAAUCAACUAUACUUCAAUAAAACUUUGAAAAACGAAAAGAAGAUUUCUAUUUAUACUUUGUUAUAACUGAAAUAAAGGCACAGAGCUCAGAAAAUGCCCAACAGAGACCCUUGCCAGGGCAAGGAGGUGAGAGAAGCUUUAGAACUGUUCUUGGGAGUUCCCAUCGUGGCUCAGUGGUUAAUGAAUCCAACUAGGAAACAUGAGGUUGUGGGUUCGAUCCCUGGCCUUGCUCAGUGGGUUGAGGAUCCGGUGUUGCCGUGAGCUGUGGUGUAGGUUGCAGACGCGGCUCGGAUCCCGCUUUACUAACUGUUCUUGGAAGGAUG
RNAcentral lists this long non-coding RNA (3835 nucleotides) under Sus scrofa (pig). Its description in RNAcentral is "lncRNA (ENSSSCG00025046931.1)". Lineage: Eukaryota; Metazoa; Chordata; Mammalia; Artiodactyla; Suidae. The record is from RNAcentral.